GAUGAAGAACGCAGCGAAAUGCGAUACGUAAUGUGAAUUGCAGAAUUCAGUGAAUCAUCGAAUCUUUGAACGCAUAUUGCGCUCUCUGGUAUUCCGGAGAGCAUGCUUGUUUGAGUAUCAGUAAACACCUCAACUCCCUUUUCUUUUUUGAAAUUGGAGCUGGACUUGAGUGAUCCCAACGCUUUCUUCCAAGAAAGUGGCGGGUUGCUUGAAAUGCAGGUGCAGCUGAACUUUUCUCUGAGCUAUAAGCAUAUCUAUUUAGUCUGCCUAAAAAACAGAUUAUUACCUUUGCUGCAGCUAACAUAAAGGAGAUUAGUUCUUGUGCUGACUGAUGCAGGAUUCACAAAGACGGCUUCGGCCGACUUUGUAAACUCGAUCUCAAAUCAAGUAAGACUACCCGCUGAACUUAAGCAUAUCAAUAAGCGGAGGA
RNAcentral lists this unclassified non-coding RNA (430 nucleotides) under soil metagenome. Its description in RNAcentral is "partial contains 5.8S ribosomal RNA, internal transcribed spacer 2, and large subunit ribosomal RNA". The stretch from base 1 to 120 matches the Rfam family "5.8S ribosomal RNA", at positions 35 to 154 of the family's 154-position model. The record is from RNAcentral.